CCUACGGGUGGCUGCAGUGAGGAAUAUUGGUCAAUGGGCGGAAGCCUGAACCAGCCAAGUAGCGUGCAGGAUGACGGCCCUACGGGUUGUAAACUGCUUUUAUACGGGAAUAACGCGCCUUACGUGUAGGGCUUUGCAUGUACCGUAUGAAUAAGGACCGGCUAAUUCCGUUCCAGCAGCCGCGGUAAUACGGGAGGUCCGUGCGUUAUCCGGAUUUAGUGGGGUUAAAGGGCGCGUAGGCCGCAUGGCAAGCGUGCUGUGAAAUGUCCGGGCUGAACUCGGGCCUUGCAGCGCGAACUGGCGUGCUGUAGUCCGCGGAAGGCAGGCGGAAUUCGUCGUGUAGCGGUGAAAUGCUUAGAUAUGACGAAGAACCCCGAUUGCGAAGGCAGCUUGCUGCAGCGGAACUGACGCUGAUGCUCGAAAGCACGGGUAUCGAACAGGAUUAGAUACCCUAGUAGUC
RNAcentral lists this ribosomal RNA (460 nucleotides) under uncultured bacterium. Its description in RNAcentral is "partial 16S ribosomal RNA". It matches the Rfam family "Bacterial small subunit ribosomal RNA", at positions 338 to 795 of the family's 1533-position model. The record is from RNAcentral.